This is a long non-coding RNA of Carassius auratus (goldfish), 3838 nucleotides long. The record is from Ensembl. Lineage: Eukaryota; Metazoa; Chordata; Actinopteri; Cypriniformes; Cyprinidae.
AUGCAAUUACUGGUGGUGGUGUUACUAUAUCUGUACGGUCUAUCGAGACCUGUCCGUGUCCGGCUAUCAUGGCUAUUUUUCUGUAUGGUCUAUCAAGGCCUGUCUGUGUCUGCCUAUCGUGGCUAUUUCUGUACGGUCUAUCGAGACCUGUCCGUGUCCGGCUAUCAUGGCUAUUUUCUGUAUGGUCUAUCAAGGCCUGUCCCAUGUCUGCAUAUUGUGGCUAUCUGUGUCUGGCCUAUCCUGGCUAUUUCUGUACGGUCUAUCGAGGCCUAUCUGUGUCUGGCUAUAAUGGCCAUUUCUGUACGGCCUAUCGAGGCCUGUCCGUGUCUGCCUAUCGUGGCUGUCUGUGUCUGGCCUAUCGUGGCUAUUUCUGUACGGCCUAUCAAGGCCUGUCCGUGUCCGGCCAUCAUGGCUAUUUUUCUGUAUGGUCUAUUGAGGCCUGUCCUGUGUCUGCCUAUUGUGGCUAUUUCUGUACGGCCUAUUGAGGCCUGUCUGCGUCUGCCAUUGUGGCUGUCUGCGUCUGGCCUAUUGUGGCUAUUUAUGUACGGCCUAUCGAGGUCUGUCUGCGUCUGCCUAUCGUGGCUAAUCAUGGUCUAUCGAGGCCUGUCUUGCGUCUGCCUAUCGUGGCUGUCUGCGUCUGGCCUAUUGUGGCUAUUUAUGUACGGUCUAUCGAGGCCUGUCUGUGUUGGCUAUUUCUGUACGGUCUAUCGAGGCCUGUCCGUGUCCGCCUAUCGUGGCUGUCUGCGUCUGGCCUAUUGUGGCUAUUUCCGUUGGUCUAUCGAGGCCUGUCCGUGUCUGGCUAUCAUGGCUAUUUUUCUGUAUGGUCUAUCAAGGCCUAUCUGUGUCUGGCCAUCAUGGCUAUUUCUGUACGGUCUAUCAAGGCCUGUCUGCGUCUGCCUACUGUGGCUGUCUGUGUCUGGCCUAUUGUGGCUAUUUAUGUACGGUCUAUCGAGGCCUGUCUGUGUUGGCUAUUUCUGUACGGUCUAUCGAGGCCUGUCCGUGUCCGCCUAUCGUGGCUGUCUGCGUCUGGCCUAUUGUGGCUAUUUCCGUUGGUCUAUCGAGGCCUGUCCGUGUCUGGCUAUCAUGGCUAUUUUUCUGUAUGGUCUAUCAAGGCCUAUCUGUGUCUGGCCAUCAUGGCUAUUUCUGUAUGGUCUAUCGAGGCCUGUCUGUGUCUGGCUAUCAUGGCUAUUUUUCUGUACGGUCUAUCGAGGCUGUCUGUGUUCUGCCUAUCAUGGCUAUUCUGUAUGGUCUAUCGAGGCCUGUCUGCGUCUGCCUAUCGUGGCUGUCUGCGUCUUGCCUAUCGUGGCUAUUUCUGUUGGUCUAUUGAGGCCUGUCUGUGUCUGCCUAUCGUGGCUGUCUGCGUGAGGCCUAUCGUGGCUAUUUAUGUUGGUCUAUCGGGGCCUGUCUGUGUCUGCCUAUCGUGGCUGUCUGCGUCUGGCCUAUCGUGGCUAUUUAUGUACGGUCUAUUGGGGCCUGUCUGUGUCUGCCUAUCGUGGCUGUCUGCGUCUGGCCUAUCGUGGCUAUUUAUGUUCGGCCUAUCGAGGCCUGUCCGUGUCUGCCUAUCGUGGCUAUUUAUGUUGGUCUAUCGGGGCCUGUCUGUGUCUGCCUAUCGUUGCUGUCUGUGUCUGGCCUAUUUCUGUAAAACUUAAGAAGUUUAAUCUAACGUCAUUAUACUGGUCAUGCUAACUCUCUUUCUAUUUCUUCCAGGAACCUUAGGAUUCACAACUGGUGGGUAUACUUCAUCUACUUUUUUUUGGGGGGAAGGCUGGCCCCGUCUGGAGGUCUCAUAAUCCACCUAAUUUUGGGGGUCUGCUGCGCCCCUGCCUUCGUCUUCAGGCAGGAAAUGCAGAUUCGCUACCCUCGGAUUACGAACCAUGGACGGGGCCUUCCGCCAAAGAAAUUUAUAAUUGUGCUCGCUGAGCUGUCAAUAAAUGUAUGCUUCGUACAUUCCUCUAUCUCCCGAGUCUUUCUGGUAGAAAUGGAAGCUUUAGCCUAAGUUCUACCAGGAAGACUCAAUCACUUCGUCACUAAUUACCUUCAUCAUUAUCCAAUCACGUCUUUAUACUCCUGUAUAAAAGAUCGUACUUACACAUGUUUGAGUUCGCAGAUGCCAACGCGACAACAACCUCCACCCUCCCCACCACCACCAGGAUGGUCCUGUCCUUACCUUCCAGGGGGGUCUGCUGCGCCCCUGCCUUCGUCUUCAGGCAGGAAAUGCAGAUUCGCUACCCUCGGAUUACGAACCAUGGACGGGGCCUUCCGCCAAAGAAAUUUAUAAUUGUGCUCGCUGAGCUGUCAAUAAAUGUAUGCUUCGUACAUUCCUCUAUCUCCCGAGUCUUUCUGGUAGAAAUAAUUUAUAGCAUGUAAAAAAUGUAUACCAUGUAAUCAUUCACACAAGUGAUUCUUCUUAUAGCAAACAGACACAAGAAGUGCUUGUAAUACCAAGUUUUAGACAUUGUUCAAAUAAGGUCAAGCUAGAAAAAGAAGGAAUAAAUAAAGAGUAUUUUUUUUAUUUUUUUAUGAUGAAGCCAAGUAGUUUAGAAAGAGAUGAGUUUUCAGCUGUCGCUUGAAAAUUGUCAGGGAUUCAGCAUUCCGGAUAGGGGUUGGAAGAUCAUUCCACCAGCCAGGAAUGGUGAACGAGAAUGUUCUGGAAAGUGAUUUUGAGCCUCUUUUCCGAUGGUACUACGAGGCGUAGCUCACUAGAGCCCCUUUCACACUGCAUGUCACUUCGAAGUGAUGACACACGUUAUCGAGCAACUCUUUUAUCGGCUGUUUUGAAGAAAGUGAAAAGUGAAAGUGAAGUGACAUUCAGCCAAGUAUGGUGACCCAUACUCAGAAUUUGUGCUCUGCAUUUAACCCAUCCGAAAUGCACACACACAGAGCAGUGAACACCCACACACACACUGUGAGCACACACCCGGAGCAGUGGGCAGCCAUUUAUGCUGCGGCGCCCGGGGAGCAGUUGGGGGUUCGAUGCCUUGCUCAAGGGCACCUAAGUCGUGGUAUUGAAGGUGGAGAGAGAACUGUUCAUGCACUCCCCCCACCUACAAUUCCGUCCGGCCCGAGACUAGAACCCACAACCCUUCGAUUGGGAGUCCAACCCUAUAACCAUUAGGCCACAACUUCCCAAAGAUCAACGAUCACGACAAAAAAAUAAUAAUAUGUGCAAACUCAGCAGAGAUCAGUCACUUCCUCACUUUCCGCACUAUUGCCGAGAUCGUUUGCUUGCUUCAGUGAAAGUAUAACGUGCCUAACGUUUUUGACUCGUACAUUACACGUCACGCACUGAUGUCAAGUGUCGUUACGGGAUCUUUACAGGUUGUGUGUGAAAGCACGACAUAUCCCGGGUAAUCACUGGCAGUGUGAAAGUACAAAAUCUAGCCACCCGGGAACAAUUGCCGGGACACUUUACCCAUGUAUUUGCCGGAAUGGCAGUGUGAAAUGGGCUUAGCAGAUCUGAGAUUUCUGGAAGGGAUGUAGAUUCAUAAUAUGAUGAAGAAUAAUAGAUGAAGCAUACAUGGUAUGCAGCCCUUAAGAUUUGUCCACAAACUACUUACUGCCUUCUUUUCAAACAGUUUGGAGUGCAUCUGUGAUGUAUGGUAGGCAGAUUACUAGGUUUUUGGAAGAGAGUGAUUAUCUAAAGGAGUCAAAGCAUUUUCUAAAGCUGAGUGGAGAACAACAUUGUAGGUUAUACAGGUGUUUGGUGACAAUGCAAAGGUUAUGGGGACACUUCAAAAUUCAAAACAUGAUUCAUGACUCAAAUGUGCAGGAGGUAUAAUGAGUUCAAAAUUGUCAGACUCAUUUGAUCCCUAAGUAGUGCCCUUGUUUGACCAGUGAA